AAGUCGUAACAAGGUUUCCGUAGGUGAACCUGCGGAAGGAUCAUUAACACUAAUGAAAUCCAAAACCUUUUGGAUCAACCCAACCUUUAGCGAACCGUUCGUCCCUUUUUUCCUUUUGCCUCAUAUCAUUUUAUCAAACGCAAACUCUGAUGUAAAGUGUCUGAUUCUUUAUUCCCGCUGCUACUCGUAGCAGGAAUCAAAAAUCUAACGCAAUACAACUCUUAACAACGGAUAUCUUGGCUCUC
Molecule: unclassified non-coding RNA, 245 nt
Filed under: fungal sp.
Lineage: Eukaryota; Fungi
Description: partial internal transcribed spacer region
Rfam family: Eukaryotic small subunit ribosomal RNA (bases 1-46)
Source: RNAcentral